RNAcentral lists this ribosomal RNA (497 nucleotides) under uncultured bacterium. Its description in RNAcentral is "partial 16S ribosomal RNA". It matches the Rfam family "Bacterial small subunit ribosomal RNA", at positions 28 to 507 of the family's 1533-position model. The record is from RNAcentral.
GAUGAACGCUGGCGGCGUGCCUAAUACAUGCAAGUCGAGCGAACGGACGAGAAGCUUGCUUCUCUAAUGUUAGCGGCGGACGGGUGGGUAACACGUGGAUAACCUACCUAUAAGACUGGGAUAACUUCGGGAAACCGUAGCUAAUACCGGAUAAUAUUUUGAACCGCAUGGUUCAAAAGUGAAAGACGGUCUUGCUGUCACUUAUAGAUGGAUCCGCGCUGCAUUAGCUAGUUGGUAAGGUAACGGCUUACCAAGGCAACGAUGCAUAGCCGACCUGAGAGGGUGAUCGGCCACACUGGAACUGAGACACGGUCCAGACUCCUACGGGAGGCAGCAGUAGGGAAUCUUCCGCAAUGGGCGAAAGCCUGACGGAGCAACGCCGCGUGAGUGAUGAAGGUCUUCGGAUCGUAAAACUCUGUUAUUAGGGAAGAACAUAUGUGUAAGUAACUGUGCACAUCUUGACGGUACCUAAUCAGAAAGCCACGGCUAACUACGUG